This 103-nucleotide ribosomal RNA is filed under the name Pleurotus pulmonarius. RNAcentral's name for it is "5.8S ribosomal RNA". It matches the Rfam family "5.8S ribosomal RNA", at positions 1 to 103 of the family's 154-position model. Rfam says of the family: 5.8S ribosomal RNA (5.8S rRNA) is a component of the large subunit of the eukaryotic ribosome. It is transcribed by RNA polymerase I as part of the 45S precursor that also contains 18S and 28S rRNA. The record is from RNAcentral. Lineage: Eukaryota; Fungi; Basidiomycota; Agaricomycetes; Agaricales; Pleurotaceae. RNAcentral also lists the same sequence under 1 other name.
AACUUUCAACAACGGAUCUCUUGGCUCUCGCAUCGAUGAAGAACGCAGCGAAAUGCGAUAAGUAAUGUGAAUUGCAGAAUUCAGUGAAUCAUCGAAUCUUUGA